RNAcentral lists this ribosomal RNA (449 nucleotides) under uncultured bacterium. RNAcentral's name for it is "partial 16S ribosomal RNA". It matches the Rfam family "Bacterial small subunit ribosomal RNA", at positions 29 to 523 of the family's 1533-position model. The record is from RNAcentral.
AAUGAACGCUGGCGGCAUGCCUAACACAUGCAAGUCGAACGAAGGCUUCGGCCUUAGUGGCGCACGGGUGCGUAACGCGUGGGAAUCUGCCCUCAGGUUCGGAAUAACAGCGAGAAAUUGCUGCUAAUACCGGAUGAUAUCGCGAGAUCAAAGAUUUAUCGCCUGAGGAUGAGCCCGCGUAGGAUUAGCUAGUUGGUGUGGUAAAGGCGCACCAAGGCGACGAUCCUUAGCUGGUCUGAGAGGAUGAUCAGCCACACUAGGACUGAGACACGGCCCAGACUCCUACGGGAGGCAGCAGUGGGGAAUAUUGGACAAUGGGCGAAAGCCUGAUCCAGCAAUGCCGCGUGAGUGAUGAAGGCCUUAGGGUUGUAAAGCUCUUUUACCCGGGAUGAUAAUGACAGUACCGGGAGAAUAAGCUCCGGCUAACUCCGUGCCAACAGCCGCCGCAG